AAUUAUUUAUUAAUUGGUUACUCAGAUAGAUUGAUAUGGAAAAACAGUUGAGAUUUGAGAGAAAAACCCAGAAACCUAAUAUACAAAUAAAAACAUUGCAAAUGAUAACUUUAUUGGGUGAUGGAAACCACGAUUCAAUUUUAAACCCUUUUUAUUUAUUUUUUUUUUUUUUUUUGAGUCUAGAUAUAAUCAUGCUCAUAGAUCUUGUUCUGGAUUCUUUAACUGAAAAAAUAUCUUAGGUUUUUAGAGUAAGUAUAGGGUUAAAACAGUCUAGAUAAAAAAAGGAGCUAAAUAAAGAUUUUGGGAUGCUAGAUACUUAAUUAAUCAGUCAACAAGGUACAUGAAGUGUAGUUUCCCAUCUUUUUAUUAUUAUUUCUUUUGAUCUUUUUGUCUUUUUCCUUUUUUUGGAAAAUUUAAUAAACCAUUAUUUU
Molecule: long non-coding RNA, 431 nt
Filed under: Capsella rubella
Lineage: Eukaryota; Viridiplantae; Streptophyta; Magnoliopsida; Brassicales; Brassicaceae
Description: long non-coding RNA (CRUB_LNC002204)
Source: RNAcentral